UAACCAAUGGUUAUAUGGCCAUUGUAACCAUUCUAUACAGUGGAUUCUCAGGAUUUGCCACGUCUAAUUUUAUACCCCAACUCAAGCAUAUAGUGACCACAUAUUUGACUUCCCUCUUGUAUUUUCUUCUGUAUAAAUAUUAACUUUUAGAUGUCAAACACAUCCAAAAAAUAUAUUUUUAUUUUGGAUAUAUACAUCCUCAUCCAUAUCUGACCCAAAUAGGGUUGGACCUGGAUGAGAAACCGAUUAGUAUUCUUCAUCCUGAAAACUUUUGUAAUAUGAUUUGCACAUUUAAGCCUCGGCUUUUCUACAACUGUGUUCAAAUAAAGUCCAAAACACACAACCUGAAUUUCAAUAUGAAUUCGUUUUCUCCCUUUUCUUUCAGGAUGGGAUUAAUUAUGUUUCUGGUCUAUCCGAAAUGCGUUGGAUGAUUAUUUUAUUGUUGUGUUGUGCUU
Molecule: long non-coding RNA, 455 nt
Organism: Telopea speciosissima
Lineage: Eukaryota; Viridiplantae; Streptophyta; Magnoliopsida; Proteales; Proteaceae
Exons: 2
Source: RefSeq, a predicted model, not a curated record